CUGAGUACGGCGGAACACGUGAAAUUCCGUCGGAAUCCGGGAGGACCAUCUCCCAAGGCUAAAUACUCCCUAGUGACCGAUAGUGAACCAGUACCGUGAGGGAAAGGUGAAAAGCACCCCGGAAGGGGAGUGAAACAGUUCCUGAAACCGUGUGCCUACAAGUAGUUAGAGCCCGUUAAUGGGUGAUAGCGUGCCUUUUGUAGAAUGAACCGGCGAGUUACGAUUUGUUGCAAGGUUAAGCGGAAAAAGCGGAGCCGUAGCGAAAGCGAGUCUGAAUAGGGCGCAUAAGUAACAGGUCGUAGACCCGAAACCAGGUGAUCUACCCAUGUCCAGGAUGAAGGUAAGGUAAUACUUACUGGAGGUCCGAACCCACGCACGUUGAAAAGUGCGGGGAUGAGGUGUGGGUAGCGGAGAAAUUCCAAUCGAACUUGGAGAUAGCUGGUUCUCUCCGAAAUAGCUUUAGGGCUAGCCUCGAGGUAAAGAGUCAUGGAGGUAGAGCACUGUUUGGACUAGGGGCCCUUCUCGGGUUACCGAAUUCAGAUAAACUCCGAAUGCCAUGUACUUAUACUCGGGAGUCAGACUGCGAGUGAUAAGAUCCGUAGUCGAAAGGGAAACAGCCCAGACCACCAGUUAAGGUCCCCAAAUAUAUGUUAAGUGGAAAAGGAUGUGGGGUUGCUUAGACAACCAGGAUGUUGGCUUAGAAGCAGCCACCAUUGAAAGAGUGCGUAAUAGCUCACUGGUCGAGUGACCCCGCGCCGAAAAUGUACCGGGGCUAAACAUAUUACCGAAACUGUGGAUGAACCUCUUUAGAGGUUCGUGGUAGGAGAGCGUUCUAAGGGCGGUGAAGUCAGACCGGAAGGACUGGUGGAGCGCUUAGAAGUGAGAAUGCCGGUAUGAGUAGCGAAAGAAGGGUGAGAAUCCCUUCCACCGAAUAUCUAAGGUUUCCUGAGGAAGGCUCGUCCGCUCAGGGUUAGUCGGGACCUAAGCCGAGGCCGAUAGGCGUAGGCGAUGGACAACAGGUAGAGAUUCCUGUACCAGUGCUAAUUGUUUAACCGAUGGGGUGACACAGAAGGAUAGGGAAUCGCACGAAUGGAAAUGUGCGUCCAAGCAGUGAGUGUGAGAAGUAGGCAAAUCCGCUUCUCGCGAAGCAUGAGCUGUGAUGGGGAAGGAAAUUAAGUACGGAAGUUCCUGAUUUCACGCUGUCAAGAAAAGCCUCUAGGAAGAGUAGUACUGCCCGUACCGCAAACCGACACAGGUAGAUGAGGAGAGAAUCCUAAGGUGAGCGAGAGAACUCUCGUUAAGGAACUCGGCAAAAUGACCCCGUAACUUCGGGAGAAGGGGUGCUCUAUUAGGGUGCAAGCCCGAGAGAGCCGCAGUGAAUAGGCCCAGGCGACUGUUUAGCAAAAACACAGGUCUCUGCAAAACCGUAAGGUGACGUAUAGGGGCUGACGCCUGCCCGGUGCUGGAAGGUUAAGAGGAGUGCUUAGCUUCGGCGAAGGUACGAAUUGAAGCCCCAGUAAACGGCGGCCGUAACUAUAACGGUCCUAAGGUAGCGAAAUUCCUUGUCGGGUAAGUUCCGACCCGCACGAAAGGCGCAACGAUCUGGGCACUGUCUCAACGAGAGACUCGGUGAAAUUAUAGUACCUGUGAAGAUGCAGGUUACCCGCGACAGGACGGAAAGACCCCGUGGAGCUUUACUGCAACCUGAUAUGGAAUGUUUGUACCGCUUGUACAGGAUAGGUAGGAGCCGAAGAGACGUGUGCGCUAGCAUACGAGGAGGCAAUGGUGGGAUACUACCCUGGCUGUAUGACCAUUCUAACCCGCCACGCUUAGCGCGUGGGGAGACAGUGUCAGGUGGGCAGUUUGACUGGGGCGGUCGCCUCCUAAAGAGUAACGGAGGCGCCCAAAGGUUCCCUCAGAAUGGAUGGAAAUCAUUCGCAGAGUGUAAAGGCACAAGGGAGCUUGACUGCGAGACUGACAAGUCGAGCAGGGACGAAAGUCGGGCUUAGUGAUCCGGUGGUUCCGCAUGGAAGGGCCAUCGCUCAACGGAUAAAAGCUACCCCGGGGAUAACAGGCUUAUCUCCCCCAAGAGUCCACAUCGACGGGGAGGUUUGGCACCUCGAUGUCGGCUCGUCGCAUCCUGGGGCUGUAGUCGGUCCCAAGGGUUGGGCUGUUCGCCCAUUAAAGCGGCACGCGAGCUGGGUUCAGAACGUCGUGAGACAGUUCGGUCCCUAUCCGUCGCGGGCGCAGGAAAUUUGAGAGGAGCUGUCCUUAGUACGAGAGGACCGGGAUGGACACACCGCUGGUGUACCAGUUGUUCCGCCAGGAGCAUCGCUGGGUAGCUAUGUGUGGCAGGGAUAAACGCUGAAAGCAUCUAAGCGUGAAGCCCCCCUCAAGAUGAGAUUUCCCAUUUCUUCGGAAAGUAAGAUCCCUGAAAGAUGAUCAGGUAGAUAGGUUUGGAGUGGAAGUGUAGCGAUACA
Molecule: ribosomal RNA, 2480 nt
Filed under: Listeria monocytogenes
Lineage: Bacteria; Bacillati; Bacillota; Bacilli; Caryophanales; Listeriaceae
Description: partial 23S ribosomal RNA
Rfam family: Bacterial large subunit ribosomal RNA
Source: RNAcentral